AUAAUAAUACAAAUGCACCAUCAUUUAAAUCCAUAUGUACUUGCGCUUUUUUAUGCGUGACGUGAUGACGGCUAUUAAAGAAUGUUUUCCGGCUCUCCGUGCACCGACACAAAUAACCGAGAAAUCCACAAAUUGGGGCGACAGAAUGCAGCAACAUUUCCUCAAAUAUGUUUUGGGACUUCAUAGAGGGUUGUAGUAAUGAUGAUACCGAGCCGUCUUCAAGGUAUCAAGGAGAUAUUGUUUCUAUGGUUGCUGAUAUUGGUGUCACUGAACCAAAUUCUCGGAUCCCAGCCACCGAAUUUCUCGAAUUCUAAUGCGAUGGAAACUGAGAGUUUUCAAGAACUUUCUUGGGGCUUAACAGACAUAGAGUGUCAUCCAAUUUUACAGGCCACAACUAGCACUGAGCUGAAAAGGGAGCUUCCAUGGGAACCUUGCAUAAUAGAGUCAAGCGGAAGCUAAAAAGAAAUCUCAGGACAUACCACUCUUUCAAAAAUCUCGAAGUGAAGUGUCUGACAAGGUUUGCGGAGAACCGAGGAGAAAGAAGCAUGAGCAAAGGCCUAAAAGAACACGUUCAGCUGAGAUGCAUAAUGUGUCUGUAAGAAUGAGUAGCAGCCUUGAUAUUUCGUAAUCAUGUGUUCUAAAAAUUUCAGUCCGUCCAACUAUGUUGUUGUAUUUGUUAUUGGGCAGAGGCCCAGGGACCGGAUCAAGGGAAAGCUGAGAGCUCUACAGGAAUUGAUACCCAACUGUCACAAGGUCGCAGUGUCUAAUCUAUAUUGACAAUAUCUUCUUGAUUUUGCUGUUAACAGGAAGCUGGGAUGCUCAAGUUUCCUAUCUCAGCAUGGAUUUUAGUAUAAGCCAUAUUGUAAUUUUACAAAAACAUUACCUGCAAUUUGUUUUCUGAACUAUGAAUUAGUUAGCAAUGGUGUUUUUCACUAAUGAUUAUGUGAAGGAUCGGCUAUGUAGCCAACUACCUUAAAUUCUCUUCAUGUUAUAGGCUUUUGUAAUUUCACGUGUAGUGGUUUGAGCUGUAUUUAUAUAUUUAUCAGGUUAAGGGAGCUUUGUGAGUCCAGAUAUUUGAAACUUAAAAUCUGUCACAAACCGAGCUCUGAUUUUGACAUGCAGCUAUCUAUUUGUUUGCUUUCUAGCUAGUUCAUCAUUCAUGUGGCUAUUCAGAAGCUGCUGAAGUAAGAGUUUACAUGGUUGAGCUAGUAGCUGUUAUAAAUGAGUUGUUCUGAAAAGCAUAUAAGAGUUUUUUUUUUUUUUUUUCAUUUGAGUGGUUGCCACUAAUUCAUCUUUAAAUGGUCGUAGUAGUACUGGAUGACAUGGUAUUAUGUUUCUUUUUGCUAAAGCAAUUUAUUUAAUUGUUAGUUAUUGCUGGUCUCUGUGAGGAUUUCUGACUGUUUUGAUGCUUCUCUCCAGAUUUUUUGUUUCUGUUUCUUGGCAAUGCCGUCUAAUUACAUCCAAUCAAUCAAAAUUUCACAACUGUAUUUCAGCAGGACCGACCGUCAAUGCUAGAAGAUGCUGUUGAAUAUCUUAAAGCCUUGAAGCUUCAAGUUGAAGUGAUCACUUUAUCUGUAAUUGCAGUUCUUCAAGCCUUGCCUGCUAUUAACUUGUUUCUUUUUCUGUCCAUCAGAUGCUGUCCAUGAGUGGUGGAGCAACGUGCCAGGCCUCAUGUAUGCCACAGGCUGGAAUUCCAAGUGUACCAAUUCCCCAAUUUUCUAUAUAGGCAUCCAUGAGGCCAAGUCCAGGAAUGGGAAUGUUUAGCAUGUCGCAUUCGUUGGGUCUUCCAAUGAUAUCACUUCCCUCAGCUGUGCAUCUCCAUUCUUCACUAUCAGCAGCAGCAGCUGGAUUGAAUCCAAUGACUGCACAUGAAAUUCUCCCCAACCCUCAAGUGCAAAUGCCAUUCAUUUCCUCACAGCCAUUACCUGCAGAUGUAGCCACAUCAAGUACACCGCCAACAUUUGCAACUGGGUUCUCUGCCACAUACGAUAGUCCUGACGAAGGAGAGUAUAGUCCUCGAAUGUACCGAAGGAACACCAUCUGAUUAUCAUCUACCAGUAAACAUGUCAAGUUAAUUCCAACCUGUACUCCUUUUUUUUAAUGCUUUUGGAAUCCACUAUGAUCAUACCUUUUGUUCCCUGACCAAUUAUUAUCUCCAGUUAUCUUUUGCCGAAGUUGAUUGCUAUACAAUUCUUUGCUAUAUUAAUUAUCAGUUCUCAGAAUCAUGACAGAGUUGUAGAAAUGCUAGCCAUACUCUUCAAUAACUGCAAGUCAUAUUAUAACGCCUUUGUUCACACAGAAUGUGGUUCCAGUCUACUUUCUUCAACGAGGAAGCUGGCUGGCGGCUACAAUUUAGUCAGUGACAGAGAGAAAAAUGUUUCUUAUUUGAAUUUUGAAGUGCUGGUUGACUUCAUUUGAUUAUUGCAGGAGGAUAACUGAAGGCUUGCAUCAGACAGUUUCCUUGGACAGAAAUGUUGAGUUAGCAUCAAUUUCUUCCACUUAUAUAUCAUUGUAUCCAUGAUUAGCUAAUUACCUGUUAUGUCGUGAAAUCAAAUAUCAUUUCUCAAGAAAAUCCUACGCUCUAGGCUUUAGCAACUUUCGUUAUGUUUCUUAACAGUGAGAUCAUAAGAUGUUUAAACAUGAAUGGUAAUGGUGAAGUUACGGGUCAGUCCACCAUUUGAAUUGGAAUGGCAGAACUUGUAAACAGAUACCUGUGCAGAAUGUUUCUUAAAUCAGCAGGCAAAUAAGAGGUUCCCAUCAUAACAUUUCAAUCUUGUACAUGAUUUUUCAUGACCAAAAUUCAAGAUCAAGCAGCUGGACCAGCAUUGAUCUUGAAGUUCGAAGUAAAAU
Molecule: long non-coding RNA, 2850 nt
Organism: Populus trichocarpa (black cottonwood)
Lineage: Eukaryota; Viridiplantae; Streptophyta; Magnoliopsida; Malpighiales; Salicaceae
Exons: 3
Source: RefSeq, a predicted model, not a curated record